AAAGGCCUUGCGCGCUCUGGUCCUUCCUCACUCUCCGGCUGUCUGACUUGCAGGGUUGUCGACAAAAUCUUUGUAGAAUGGAGGAUAUCAAAUGGUUCAAAUUGACCUGUCUACAUUUUAGCAGUCAUCAUUCAUUAUCCUGGUUUCAGGAAAGUCCAAAAACAUGAAGGAAGCGGAGAGGAUGAGGUGUGGUCAUGUUGAAUGAAUUGACUGCUUGACAAGAUCCUAACGGAUGAUCCUCAUGGAUGUGCAUGGAUCUGGCAUGAAUGUUCUUGGAGCAGAUGCAGGAACAGAAUUGUCUUUUAUCCAGAGGACCAAAUGAAGACAUAUCUUUGCUGACAGAACCUUCACUGCGCUGUUGAGCAAAUGGGACUCUGAACAGCCAUGUGCACAAGAUGACUCAAAAAUAUGGUUAUAGUCACUUACUCUGGGUCAGUUGGAACAUCGGAGACAAAAUCAGCUGAGGAAAGAGCUGCAUCUCUCAGACUGACCUUGGAAUGCAGAUGUGAAGUCCCCUGGCCCUGAGGAGAAAAACCUAAUACCCCCUUUUGUUCUGUUCCACUAAAGCCAGUCUGAAUAUCCACACCUACAGUUCUGGUUCAGGAUAAAUGAAGAGGAAAUUAUGAUCUUUUCCAGAUUCUGUUGUGGGUCGUAACUUGAUCCUGUGGACAACCCAUGAGUAUCAAGAAUGUAUUAUGUUAUUAGUUUUUUUGCAACACUGUGGCAAUAAAUACUAAAAUACUA
Long non-coding RNA from Toxotes jaculatrix (banded archerfish), 744 nucleotides. RefSeq lists it as uncharacterized. The record is from RefSeq and is a predicted model, not a curated record. The transcript is spliced from 12 exons. Lineage: Eukaryota; Metazoa; Chordata; Actinopteri; Toxotidae.